GGUCCUAUGGUGCAAUGGGAGCACACUGGACUCUGAAUCCAGCGAUCCGAGUUCAAAUCUCGGUGGGACCU
RNAcentral lists this transfer RNA (71 nucleotides) under Cotesia glomerata. RNAcentral describes it as "tRNA-Gln". It matches the Rfam family "tRNA". Rfam says of the family: Transfer RNA (tRNA) molecules are approximately 80 nucleotides in length. Their secondary structure includes four short double-helical elements and three loops (D, anti-codon, and T loops). Lineage: Eukaryota; Metazoa; Arthropoda; Insecta; Hymenoptera; Braconidae. The record is from RNAcentral. RNAcentral also lists the same sequence under 2 other names.